CAAUAGCGUAUAUUUAAGUUGUUGCAGUUAAAAAGCUCGUAGUUGGAUUUCGGGUGGGACGCAGCGGUCUCGCAUUGCGUUUGUACUGCUGCAGCCCUCCUUCUUGCCGGGGGCGGCCUCUCGGACUUCACUGUCUGGGGGUCAGAAUCGGCGAUGUUACUUUGAGUAAAUUAGAGUGUUCAAAGCAAGCUUACGCUCUGAAUAUAAUAGCAUGGAAUAACACGGUAGGACUCUGGCUUAUCUUGUUGGUCUGUGAGACCAGAGUAAUGAUUAAGAGGGACAGUCGGGGGCAUUCGUAUUUCAUUGUCAGAGGUGAAAUUCUUGGAUUUAUGAAAGACGAACUUCUGCGAAAGCAUUUGUCAAGGAUGUUUUCAUUA
Molecule: ribosomal RNA, 377 nt
Filed under: uncultured eukaryote
Lineage: Eukaryota
Description: partial 18S ribosomal RNA
Rfam family: Eukaryotic small subunit ribosomal RNA
Source: RNAcentral